RNAcentral lists this ribosomal RNA (440 nucleotides) under uncultured bacterium. Its description in RNAcentral is "partial 16S ribosomal RNA". It matches the Rfam family "Bacterial small subunit ribosomal RNA", at positions 338 to 795 of the family's 1533-position model. The record is from RNAcentral.
CCUACGGGAGGCAGCAGUAGGGAAUAUUGCUCAAUGGGGGAAACCCUGAAGCAGCAACGCCGCGUGGAGGAUGAAGGUUUUAGGAAUGUAAACUCCUUUUGAGAGAGAAGAAAAUGACGGGAUCUCACGAAUAAGCACCGGCUAACUCCGUGCAAGCAGCCGCGGUAAUACGGAGGGUGCAAGCGUUACUCGGAGUCACUGGGCGUAAAGAGUGCGCAGGCGGGCUUGUAAGUCAGAUGUGAAAUCCUGUAGCUUAACUACAGAACUGCAUUUGAAACUAUGAGGCUUGAGUGUGGGAGAGGUAGGUGGAAUGCGUGGUGUAGGGGUGAAAUCCGUAGAUAUCAAGCAGAAUACUCAUUGCGAAGGCGGCCUACUGGAACAUUACUGACGCUGAUGCACGAAAGCGUGGGGAGCAAACAGGAGUAGAUACCCGGGUAGUC